This 399-nucleotide ribosomal RNA is filed under the name uncultured bacterium. RNAcentral's name for it is "bacterial SSU rRNA". It matches the Rfam family "Bacterial small subunit ribosomal RNA", at positions 30 to 429 of the family's 1533-position model. The record is from RNAcentral.
AUUAAACGCUGGCGGCAUGCCUUACACAUGCAAGUCGAACGGCAGCAUGGGUGCUUGCACCUGAUGGCGAGUGGCGGACGGGUGAGUAAUACAUCGGAACGUGCCCUGAAGUGGGGGAUAACGCAGCGAAAGCUACGCUAAUACCGCAUAUUCUGUGAGCAGGAAAGCAGGGGAUCGCAAGACCUUGCGCUUUGGGAGCGGCCGAUGUCGGAUUAGCUAGUUGGUGGGGUAAUGGCCUACCAAGGCGACGAUCCGUAGCGGGUCUGAGAGGAUGAUCCGCCACACUGGGACUGAGACACGGCCCAGACUCCUACGGGAGGCAGCAGUGGGGAAUUUUGGACAAUGGGCGAAAGCCUGAUCCAGCCAUGCCGCGUGAGUGAAGAAGGCCUCGGUUGUAAG